GUAGGGAAUAUUGGACAAUGGGCGCAAGCCUGAUCCAGCCAUGCCGCGUGAGUGAUGAAGGCCUUCGGGUUGUAAAGCUCUUUAGCCGAUGAUUAUAAUGACUGUAGUCGGAAAAUAAGCCCCGGCUAACUUCGUGCCAGCAGCCGCGGUAAUACGAAGGGGGCGAGCGUUAUUCGGAAUCACUGGGCGUAAAGCGUGCGUAGGCGGUUUUGUAAGUUAGGAGUGAAAGCCCAGGGCUCAACCCUGGAAUUGCUCUUAAAACUACAAGGCUAGAAUGUCGGAGAGGAUAGCGGAAUUUCCAGUGUAGCAGUGAAAUGCGUAGAUAUUGGAAGGAACACCAGUGGCGUAAGCGGCUAUCUGGACGACUAUUGACGCUGAGGCACGAAAGCGUGGGGAUCAAACAGGAUUAGAAACCCGGGUAGUCC
This 425-nucleotide ribosomal RNA is filed under the name uncultured bacterium. RNAcentral's name for it is "partial 16S ribosomal RNA". It matches the Rfam family "Bacterial small subunit ribosomal RNA", at positions 354 to 796 of the family's 1533-position model. The record is from RNAcentral.